GCCAGACUCCUACGGGAGGCAGCAGUGGGGGAUAUUGCACAAUGGGGGAAACCCUGAUGCAGCGACGCCGCGUGUGGGAAGACGGUCCUCUGGAUUGUAAACCACUGUCCCCAGGGACGAAGAUGACGGUACCUGGGGAGGAAGCUCCGGCUAACUACGUGCCAGCAGCCGCGGUAAUACGUAGGGGGCAAGCGUUAUCCGGAUUUACUGGGUGGAAAGGGGGCGCAGACGGCAGCGCAAGCCAGGAGUGAAAGCCCGGGGCCCAACCCCGGGACUGCUCUUGGAACUGCGCGGCUGGAGUGCAGGAGGGGCAGGCGGAAUUCCUGGUGUAGCGGUGAAAUGCGUAGAUAUCAGGAGGAACACCGGUGGCGAAGGCGGCCUGCUGGACUGCGACUGACGUUGAGGCCCGAAAGCGUGGGGAGCAAACAGGAUUAGAUACCCGCGUAA
Molecule: ribosomal RNA, 447 nt
Filed under: uncultured bacterium
Lineage: Bacteria
Description: partial 16S ribosomal RNA
Rfam family: Bacterial small subunit ribosomal RNA
Source: RNAcentral